AGAGAGAGAAUUGAAUUACUCAAUAUGGUAGAGAAAAUUUUGGUCAAGAGUGAAAUUUUUAUAUCUAAGUUCGACCAUCUUUGGAAAAAAAACACAUUUGUCUGAAAAGUGUGUUAGUUGGGUUUUGGCUAAAUUCUAACUGGUUUACAUGGUAGUUAGAAAUGCAGGCGGUCUGAUUAUCCAUGAAAUUCGGAAAACACUCCAAACUUGGGACAAACUUUAUGGUGGUCUUUCGGAGAGAAGUCUACUAUAAAACAGGUGCAAUUCUACCGACCAGAUCAGCUGAUAGGGUUUAUCAAAAAAAA
Molecule: small RNA, 305 nt
Filed under: Arabidopsis thaliana (thale cress)
Lineage: Eukaryota; Viridiplantae; Streptophyta; Magnoliopsida; Brassicales; Brassicaceae
Description: ATSL287870
Source: RNAcentral